This 301-nucleotide ribosomal RNA is filed under the name uncultured bacterium. RNAcentral's name for it is "partial 16S ribosomal RNA". It matches the Rfam family "Bacterial small subunit ribosomal RNA", at positions 509 to 807 of the family's 1533-position model. The record is from RNAcentral.
CAGCAGCCGCGGGAAUACGGAGGGUGCAAGCGUUAUCCGGAUUUAUUGGGUUUAAAGGGUCCGUAGGCGGAUCUGUAAGUCAGUGGUGAAAUCUCACAGCUUAACUGUGAAACUGCCAUUGAUACUGCAGGUCUUGAGUAAAUUUGAAGUGGCUGGAAUAAGUAGUGUAGCGGUGAAAUGCAUGGAUAUUACUUAGAACACCAAUUGCGAAGGCAGGUCACUAAGAUUUAACUGACGCUGAUGGACGAAAGCGUGGGGAGCGAACAGGAUUAGAUACCCCUGUAGUCCCUGUCUCUUAUAC